CCACAAUAUUUGAAAUUGUAGU
RNAcentral lists this non-coding RNA (22 nucleotides) under Arabidopsis thaliana (thale cress). Lineage: Eukaryota; Viridiplantae; Streptophyta; Magnoliopsida; Brassicales; Brassicaceae. The record is from RNAcentral.